AGGGAAAAGCCCAAAUUUGUAAUCUGGCUCUUUUAUAAGGGUCCGAGUUGUAAUUUUGAGAACUGUUUUCUGUGUUGGACCAUGUACAAGUCUGUUGGAAAACAGCAUCAUUGAGGGUGAUAAUCCCGUACAUGAUAUGGACUACCAGUGCAAUAUGAUACAGUCUCUAAGAGUCGAGUUGUUUGGGAAUGCAGCUCAAAGUGGGUGGUAAAUUCCAUCUAAGGCUAAAUAUAGGUGAGAGACCGAUAGCAAACAAGUACCGUGAGGGAAAGAUGAAAAGAACUUUGGAAAGAGAGUUAACAGUACGUGAAAUUGUUAAAAGGGAAACAUUUGAAGUUAGACUUGUUAUUAUUGGUUCAGCUUCUUUUUUUAAUUAGGAGUCUAUUCCAAUGGUUGACAGACCAGCAUCAAUUUUUGAGUGUUAGAUAAGGGUCUUGAGAAUGUGGCAACUUUGGUUGUGUUAUAGCUCUUGGCUUGAUAUAAUGCUUAGGAUUGAGGAACGCAGUGAGCUUUUUAUUAAGUGGAUYCUCUUUUG
RNAcentral lists this ribosomal RNA (535 nucleotides) under Coleosporium senecionis. Its description in RNAcentral is "LSU rRNA". It matches the Rfam family "Eukaryotic large subunit ribosomal RNA", at positions 99 to 633 of the family's 3401-position model. The record is from RNAcentral. Lineage: Eukaryota; Fungi; Basidiomycota; Pucciniomycetes; Pucciniales; Coleosporiaceae.